ACGGAGGGUGCAAGCGUUAAUCGGAAUUACUGGGCGUAAAGCGCACGCAGGCGGUUGAUUAAGUCAGAUGUGAAAUCUCCGGGCUUAACCUGGGAACUGCAUUUGAAACUGGUCAGCUUGAGUAUCGUAGCAGGGGGUAGAAUUCCAGGUGUAGCGGUGAAAUGCGUAGAGAUCUGGAGGAAUUCCGGUGGCGAAGGCGGCUCCCUGGACGAAGACUGACGCUGAGGUGCGAAAGCGUGGGGAGCAAACAG
RNAcentral lists this ribosomal RNA (251 nucleotides) under uncultured bacterium. RNAcentral describes it as "partial 16S ribosomal RNA". It matches the Rfam family "Bacterial small subunit ribosomal RNA", at positions 525 to 775 of the family's 1533-position model. The record is from RNAcentral.